AGCAGCAUAGCUUAGUAGAAAGAGCACGGACUUGGGAGUCCGAGGACCUGGGUUCUAAUCCCGGCUCUGCUA
RNAcentral lists this transfer RNA (72 nucleotides) under Ornithorhynchus anatinus (platypus). It matches the Rfam family "tRNA". From Rfam's summary of the family: Transfer RNA (tRNA) molecules are approximately 80 nucleotides in length. Lineage: Eukaryota; Metazoa; Chordata; Mammalia; Monotremata; Ornithorhynchidae. The record is from Rfam by way of RNAcentral.